Molecule: long non-coding RNA, 1094 nt
Filed under: Arabidopsis thaliana (thale cress)
Lineage: Eukaryota; Viridiplantae; Streptophyta; Magnoliopsida; Brassicales; Brassicaceae
Description: potential natural antisense gene, locus overlaps with AT1G16490 (AT1G16489)
Source: RNAcentral
AUUUUACCCCAAGUGUUUUCUCCUACACCAUUUGAACCCUCUGCAAGUCUCACAGUGUUUCUAGGUCUCGCAACGACAAAUGGACGAAGAAAGAUUGGAAAAUUGAUCGGAUUUUUUCGGGUGCUUAAACCAUUUAUCAACUUCAUCUUCUUCAGACUCUUGAAGAGCUCUGUUCUCUGGUUGUUGGAAUGAGUCUGAACCAUCUAUGAAACUCCAAAUGUCAGGAUCUAAAUCAAAAGGCAUCUCCAGCAGCUCUGGUUUGUCUACCUCUUGUAACAUCCCCGUAAACUCGCUAUAAGUUAGAAUGUGCUCAAACAUUUGACUUAUCUGUGCAUCAUCGUCUUUGCUUGAAAUGUUGGAACCAGCAAAAGACAUUGAAGCAUUUGGAGAUGACUCUUGAGAGUUCUCUUCUUCAUUCAAAGAACCUUUUGAACCCGCUUCAUCGGCAUUAAGGCAGCUUAGAAGCAAUCUUCGACCACCUGAAUCCAAAAUGCAGAAAAGCUAUUGUCAAAAUCAAAACUUUGAGCCCACAACAAGACAUUAACAAGAUAACACAUACUUGUUACCAAAGCUCUGGUGAAGUUUGAUGAUGGUGUCUUCUUCCUCUGCACUGAAAUUGCCACGUUUCACAUCAGGUCUGAGGUAAUUAAUCCAUCGCAGACGACAACUCUUGCCACACCUCAACAAUCCUUCAUUGCAUGCAUAGAUAGAAUCAGAACCAGAAGACUAGAAAAGCUAAAGAAAGAGGCUUUUAAAGAUCAUAGACAUACCAGCUUGCUUUGGGAGAGAUCUCCAAUUCUCAUGACCAUUCUUGUGAAUGAAAGAGAUGAGUUUCAAGUCUUCAUCAUGGCUCCAUGGUCCUCUCUUCACUUUGGUUUUGUCACAACAUGGUGCUCUUCCUUUGCCCAUAUUCUCUCUCUCCUCUCUCACAGACACACACUUUUGAGAUUCCCUCUUACCAAAUCCAAUUGCUUUUAUGUGUAUUUAUACAUGAGAAGUGGUGUGUGUGAUCCUGACAUUGAGAAACAUGUUAUAAACCACAGACAUUGACAAAUGUCACAUCAGAUUUGUUGAGGUUAAAAACUUGUCUAUAU